UGGCGGACGGGUGAGUAACGCGUGGGUAACCUGCCUCACACAGGGGGAUAACAGUUGGAAACGGCUGCUAAUACCGCAUAAGCGCACAGUACCGCAUGGUACGGUGUGAAAAACUCCGGUGGUAUGAGAUGGACCCGCGUCUGAUUAGGUAGUUGGUGGGGUAACGGCCUACCAAGCCGACGAUCAGUAGCCGACCUGAGAGGGUGACCGGCCACAUUGGGACUGAGACACGGCCCAA
RNAcentral lists this ribosomal RNA (238 nucleotides) under uncultured bacterium. Its description in RNAcentral is "partial 16S ribosomal RNA". It matches the Rfam family "Bacterial small subunit ribosomal RNA", at positions 96 to 334 of the family's 1533-position model. The record is from RNAcentral.